UUUUACAAUGGAGAGUUUGAUCCUGGCUCAGGAUGAACGCUAGCUAUAGGCUUAACACAUGCAAGUCGAGGGGAAACGGCAUUAUGUGCUUGCACAUUUUGGACGUCGACCGGCGCACGGGUGAGUAUCGCGUAUCCAACCUGCCCUUUACUUGGGGAUACCCCGUUGAAAGACGGCCUAAUACCCGAUGUAAUUCAUUGAUGGCAUCAGAUAUGAAUAAAAGAUUUAUCGGUAAAGGAUGGGGAUGCGUCUGAUUAGCUUGUUGGUGAGGUAAAGGCUCACCAAGGCAACGAUCAGUAGGGGUUCUGAGAGGAAGGUCCCCCACAUUGGAACU
RNAcentral lists this ribosomal RNA (334 nucleotides) under Prevotella pallens. Its description in RNAcentral is "bacterial SSU rRNA". It matches the Rfam family "Bacterial small subunit ribosomal RNA", at positions 1 to 320 of the family's 1533-position model. Lineage: Bacteria; Pseudomonadati; Bacteroidota; Bacteroidia; Bacteroidales; Prevotellaceae. The record is from RNAcentral.